UGGGGAAUAUUGGACAAUGGGGGAAACCCUGAUCCAGCCAUGCCGCGUGUGUGAAGAAGGCCUUUUGGUUGUAAAGCACUUUAAGCAGUGAAGAAGACUCUUCGGUUAAUACCCGGAGACGAUGACAUUAGCUGCAGAAUAAGCACCGGCUAACUCUGUGCCAGCAGCCGCGGUAAUACAGAGGGUGCAAGCGUUAAUCGGAAUUACUGGGCGUAAAGCGAGCGUAGGUGGCUUGAUAAGUCAGAUGUGAAAUCCCCGGGCUUAACCUGGGAACUGCAUCUGAAACUGUUAGGCUAGAGUAGGUGAGAGGGAAGUAGAAUUUCAGGUGUAGCGGUGAAAUGCGUAGAGAUCUGAAGGAAUACCGAUGGCGAAGGCAGCUUCCUGGCAUCAUACUGACACUGAGGCUCGAAAGCGUGGGUAGCAAACAGGAUUAGAUACCCUGGUAGUCCACGCCGUAAACGAUGUCUACUAGUCGUUGGGUCCCUUGAGGACUUAGUGACGCAGCUAACG
This 510-nucleotide ribosomal RNA is filed under the name Acinetobacter sp. AP6M1. RNAcentral's name for it is "bacterial SSU rRNA". It matches the Rfam family "Bacterial small subunit ribosomal RNA", at positions 355 to 857 of the family's 1533-position model. Lineage: Bacteria; Pseudomonadati; Pseudomonadota; Gammaproteobacteria; Moraxellales; Moraxellaceae. The record is from RNAcentral.